AUCGGUAGCUGGUCUGAGAGGAUGGCCAGCCACACUGGAACUGAGACACGGUCCAGACUCCUACGGGAGGCAGCAGUGGGGAAUAUUGGACAAUGGGGGGAACCCUGAUCCAGCAAUGCCGCGUGUGUGAAGAAGGCCUGAGGGUUGUAAAGCACUUUCAGUGGGGAGGAGGGUUGACAGGUUAAGAGCUGGUUGACUGGACGUUACCCACAGAAGAAGCACCGGCUAACUCCGUGCCAGCAGCCGCGGUAAUACGGAGGGUGCGAGCGUUAAUCGGAAUUACUGGGCGUAAAGGGUGCGUAGGUGGUUUGAUAAGUUAUCUGUGAAAGCCCUGGGCUUAACCUGGGAACUGCAGAUAAGACUGUUGGACUCGAGUAUGGGAGAGGGUAGUGGAAUUUCCGGUGUAGCGGUGAAAUGCGUAGAGAUCGGAAGGAACACCAGUGGCGAAGGCGGCUACCUGGCCUAAUACUGACACUGAGGCACGAAAGCGUGGGGAGCAAACAGGAUUAGAUACCCUGGUAGUCCACGCUGUAAACGAUGUCAACUAGCUGUUGGUCUUAUGAAUGAGAUUAGUGGC
This 577-nucleotide ribosomal RNA is filed under the name Legionella erythra. RNAcentral describes it as "bacterial SSU rRNA". It matches the Rfam family "Bacterial small subunit ribosomal RNA", at positions 279 to 847 of the family's 1533-position model. Lineage: Bacteria; Pseudomonadati; Pseudomonadota; Gammaproteobacteria; Legionellales; Legionellaceae. The record is from RNAcentral.